AUUGAACGCUGGCGGCAGGCUUAUCACAUGCAAGUCGAGCGGGGGAAGGUAGCUUGCUACUGGACCUAGCGGCGGACGGGUGAGUAAUGCUUAGGAAUCUGCCUAUUAGUGGGGGACAACAUCUCGAAAGGGAUGCUAAUACCGCAUACGUCCUACGGGAGAAAGCAGGGGAUCUUCGGACCUUGCGCUAAUAGAUGAGCCUAAGUCGGAUUAGCUAGUUGGUGGGGUAAAGGCCUACCAAGGCGACGAUCUGUAGCGGGUCUGUGAGGAGGAUCCGCCAAAAUGGGACUGAGCCACGGCCCAGACUCCUACGGGAGGCAGCAGUGGGGAAUAUUGGACAAGGGGGGGAACCCUGAUCCAGCCAUGCCGCGUGUGUGAAGAAGGCCUUAUGGUUGUAAAGCACUUUAAGCGAGGAGGAGGCUACUCUAGUUAAUACCUAGGGAUAGUGGACGUUACUCGCAGAAUAAGCACCGGCUAACUCUGUGCCAGCAGCCGCCGUAA
RNAcentral lists this ribosomal RNA (501 nucleotides) under uncultured bacterium. Its description in RNAcentral is "partial 16S ribosomal RNA". It matches the Rfam family "Bacterial small subunit ribosomal RNA", at positions 30 to 523 of the family's 1533-position model. The record is from RNAcentral.